AUCCAAUAUGACUGGUGUCCAAAGAAAGGAAAGGAAAACAAAACAAGACAAUAUGACUGAUAUCCUAGUAACAAGAAACAGAGGUACAGAAACAGACAAUGGCCACAGAGAAACAAAUAAACAUGAAAAAAAUCUGAAAAAAAAAGAAAAAGAAAGCUACAACAGUACUGGCUUUGAAGAAGAAAGAGACCAUGGGCCAAGAAAUGCAGGUGUCCUCUAGAAGCUGGAAAAAACAAGUAAAUGGAUGGAACUCAGAAGGAGACAUCAAAUUUUAUUGUCCUAUAUUUACAACUUGUGUCAAGUCUCUCAAUCAUUGGAAUUGUUCUGCCCAUCAGCACAUUCCCUUCUACUGAAGUGAAGAACCAAAGAACAGAGCUCUACCUAUGAAGACAGUUUGAGUUCUGCAAGAAAUGUAAGGUCACCUUGUACGUGUGAGGCUCAGAAGUUGCAUCCUUCUUGAUGGAGACAUUAAAUAAAAGAAAUAAUCAUCAUAAAGAGAAUUGAUAAUGGAUUUGUAAAUACAUGGAAGAACAAAAAAGUAACCUAGUUCCAUGCUCAAACUCAAAGGAAAGGAUAGACCUGUAAUAGCAAAAUUUCAUGGAUUCUUUCAAUCAUGAAAUAUCCUAUUCUCAUAAAAGGGCACAAAGAAUUCCAUUAUAUCAUAUGCACAUCUUUAACUUUUCCAUUUUCAAAGUAGGCUUAGAAAGAACAAAGGACUUGGAAGUGUUCAAUGACAUUAUGCUAGGAGAAGUACUGUACUUGGGGUUCCAUUCUGCCAUCUCAAAGGGAUUUUUUUUUUUUUAGCUGUCAGAGUGCUUUUUAGCCUGUAGGUAGUGUAUGAGCAGGGAGAAUUCUGUUUGUUCUUUUAAAAAUAGUCCAAAACAUUUCAGUCUUUGUGAAAAUUUCUUGAAGCUUAAAUAGGAAAUAAAUUCAAAGUCAAAUUCCCUAUUAAGCCAUCCAUGUUACUUGUUUCUUAUUCCACUGAGAACACUAUAUCAUAGUUCUACUGAGACUAAAAUAAGCUCAAUAUAAAAAUGGGAAUAAACUAUAGAAAAGUCUUUGAUUUUACCUGAAAGUCAAACAGAUCUUGAAGUUAUACAAGGACACUUUUAGUUUGUUCUUUUAUUUUUAAGGUUAAAAAAAUGUUACAGUUGCCUACUUUAGUGGUCAUGUCUUACUUAAAAUCACCCAAUAAGAAAAAAAAUUAACAAGUACAUAUACAUAUUUGUCUGGAUGCAUGUGUGUGCAUGUGGAUAAAUUUGGAGACCUAUGGAAAAUAUAGGCAAAGAAUCCCUGCUUUUCACUUAUAAAGCAUUUCAUUGAAAUAUAAUUUAAUUGUAAAAAAUGGAUGAAGAAAUAGAGCGCUGUCAGUGGAGUUGACUUCAAGUAACAAAAAUGCUAUUUUGAUAUUUUUCUAAUGUAUCAAAGACUUAAUUUUAAUGUUUAGUGCAGUUUAAUAUAUAAGGUACUGUGCGGAUACUGGAUUUUUAGAAUUUUGAGGGAUCUCAUUAUCCUAUACUAUAUAUAUAGUAUACACAUAUAUGUAUGUAUUAUAUAUAGACAUAUAUAUGUA
This is a long non-coding RNA of Felis catus (domestic cat), 1573 nucleotides long. RefSeq lists it as uncharacterized. The transcript has 5 exons. The record is from RefSeq and is a predicted model, not a curated record. NCBI's taxonomy places the organism in Eukaryota, Metazoa, Chordata, Mammalia, Carnivora, Felidae.